RNAcentral lists this unclassified non-coding RNA (245 nucleotides) under Hevea brasiliensis (rubber tree). Lineage: Eukaryota; Viridiplantae; Streptophyta; Magnoliopsida; Malpighiales; Euphorbiaceae. The record is from RNAcentral.
CUGCCGCCGCUGCGCGAUCCAUCGGCGGGAAAAUUCUGGAAGUUGGCGUCGGCACCGGCCUGUCGUUCGAUGACUACGACAGCAGCACCGAGAUCACCGGUAUCGAUAUGAGCGCGCCCAUGCUUGAGAAGGCACGCGCGAAGAUGGCGAGCGGCAAGUAUCCGUUCGUCAAGGCGGUCCACCAGAUGGACGCUCAUCACAUGACGUUCGAUGAUGCGACGUUCGACUGCGUUGUGGCGCAGUUC